This 375-nucleotide ribosomal RNA is filed under the name uncultured organism. Its description in RNAcentral is "partial 16S ribosomal RNA". It matches the Rfam family "Bacterial small subunit ribosomal RNA", at positions 527 to 896 of the family's 1533-position model. The record is from RNAcentral.
GUAGGUGGCAAGCGUUGUCCGGAAUUAUUGGGCGUAAAGCGCGCGCAGGCGGUUCUUUAAGUCUGAUGUGAAAGCCCACGGCUCAACCGUGGAGGGUCAUUGGAAACUGGAGAACUUGAGUACAGAGGAGGAAAGCGGAAUUCCACGUGUAGCGGUGAAAUGCGUAGAGAUGUGGAGGAACACCAGUGGCGAAGGCGGCUUUCUGGUCUGUAACUGACGCUGAGGCGCGAAAGCGUGGGGAGCAAACAGGAUUAGAUACCCUGGUAGUCCACGCCGUAAACGAUGAGUGCUAAGUGUUAGGGGGUUUCCGCCCCCCUUAGUGCUGCAGCUAACGCAUUAAGCACUCCCCCCCUGGGGAGUACGGCCGCAAGGCUG